UACGUAGGUGGCAAGCGUUGUCCGGAUUUACUGGGCGUAAAGAGCGCGCAGGCGGUCGUUCAAGUCGCGUGUGAAAGCCCCCGGCUCAACUGGGGAGGGUCACGCGAUACUGAUCGACUCGAAGGCAGGAGAGGGUAGUGGAAUUCCCGGUGUAGUGGUGAAAUGCGUAGAUAUCGGGAGGAACACCAGUGGCGAAGGCGGCAUCCUGGACCGGUAUUGACGCUGAGGCGCGAAAGCCAGGGGAGCAAACGGG
Molecule: ribosomal RNA, 253 nt
Filed under: uncultured bacterium
Lineage: Bacteria
Description: partial 16S ribosomal RNA
Rfam family: Bacterial small subunit ribosomal RNA
Source: RNAcentral